RNAcentral lists this ribosomal RNA (92 nucleotides) under Pseudomonas fluorescens. The record is from RNAcentral. Lineage: Bacteria; Pseudomonadati; Pseudomonadota; Gammaproteobacteria; Pseudomonadales; Pseudomonadaceae.
GGAACCACCUGAUCCCAUCCCGAACUCAGCAGUGAAACGAUGCAUCGCCGAUGGUAGUGUGGGGUUUCCCCAUGUGAGAGUAGGUCAUCGUC